AUGGCGUCCAGCUCCGAUCAAGAGGGCAGCGGGAGCGGGCGGCGAGGGAGGCCGCUGGUGUUCGACGAGCUCAGGUGGGUGGUGCAGAUCCGGGAGUCCCUGACGGAGGACGGCGACGACGAGGACGACAACGGCAUCCCGGUCUCGGUGUUCAACGUGCCCAAGCAGCUGCUGGUGCACAAGCCGGAGGCGUACGUGCCGCAGUUCAUCGCCCUCGGCCCCUACCACCACUGGCGCCCCGAGCUGUACGAGAUGGAGCGGUACAAGCUCGCCGCCGCCCGCCGCGCGCAGCGCCGCCUUCGCCCCGCGGGGCUCAAGCUCGAAGCCCUCGUCGCGGAAUUCGCCGACCGUCUCGAGCGCAAGAUCCGCGCUUACUACCAUCGCUACCUCGACUUCAGCGGCUUGACGCUCACCUGGAUGAUGGUCGUCGACGGCGCCUUCCUCCUCGAGUUCCUGCAGAUCUACGCUGCCGCCGAAGACUGUGGCAAGCCGGCGCUGCGGAGGGUGUCGUCGAGGAUGGCGCACCUGGUGGACUUCGCCGGGAGGAAGUCGGCGCACGGGCUCAUACUGCGCGACAUGCUCAUGCUCGAGAACCAGAUCCCGCUCUUCCUCCUCCGCAAGAUCCUUGAGCCGCAGUGCGCGUCGGCCGACGAGGCCGGGGUGCUGCUCACGAGCAUGGUCACCGGGCUCGUGAAGGAGCUCUGUCCGUUCAAGAUGAUGGACGGCGCCUUCCCGGCCGUCGACGUCGCCAAGUACGCGCACCUGCUCGAGCUGCUCUACUACCUUCUCGUGCCCAAGCCGCCGGCGGAGGACACUACGGCAGAGGCACAAGACCAUGACGAGAACUACGACAUCGAGGAACAGCCGACGGACGGCGACGGCGAAGAGAAGCCCUCUGGCGGCGGGUCCGAGUACGUGUCGCAGCUGUUCGCCGCGCUGUGGGGCUUGGCGUCGAAGCUCGGGAAAGGCCCGCUGCACUACGUGAUGAGGCCGAUCGCUUUCGCUGUCAAGGCGCCGUGGAAGAUGCUCACCGUCGUGCCGGGCAUGUCUGGCAUGAAGUACCCCGUCGAAUCAUUCUUCAUGUCCGGGGCCGACGGCCGCGGCGACCCGUCGUCUUCGUCCACGGCGGGCCACCUGAGCCGGCCACCGCUGAUCGAGGAGAUCAUGGUGCCGUCGGUCUCCGAGCUCGUCAACGCCGGCGUGCAGAUAGCAGCCACAACCGGCGACCUGUCCACCAUCUGCUUCGACUGCAAGACGGCGACGCUGCACCUCCCGGUGGUGACACUCGACGGCAACACGGAGGUGAUGAUCCGAAACCUUGUCGCCUACGAGUCGUCGGCGGCGUCCGGCCCGCUGGUGCUCACCCGGUACACGGAGCUGAUGAACGGCAUCAUCGACACCGACGCCGACGUGGCCCUUCUGCGGCAGCGUGGCGUGGUGCUGAACCGCUUGAAGAGCGACGGCGAGGUGACGAAGCUGUGGAACAGCAUGAGCAGGUCGACGCGGCUGACGAAGGUGCCGGCGGUGGACAGGGCGGUGGAGGAGAUGAACCGGUACUACGACGGGCGGUGGCGCGUGAAGACGAAGCGGUUCAUGCGGAGGUACGUGUUCAGCUCGUGGCAGCUGCUCACCUUCCUCGCCGCCAUCAUGAUGCUGCUGCUCACGACGCUCCAGGCCUUCUGCUCCGUCUACACAUGCUCCCGGUGGUUCGGCGCCGUCACUGUCACGGCGGCGUCGGGGGAAUGA
RNAcentral lists this ribosomal RNA (1746 nucleotides) under Triticum aestivum (bread wheat). RNAcentral's name for it is "partial small subunit ribosomal RNA". Lineage: Eukaryota; Viridiplantae; Streptophyta; Magnoliopsida; Poales; Poaceae. The record is from RNAcentral.